This is an RNA transcript of Rosa rugosa (rugosa rose), 1877 nucleotides long. RefSeq lists it as uncharacterized. The record is from RefSeq and is a predicted model, not a curated record. The transcript is spliced from 4 exons. NCBI's taxonomy places the organism in Eukaryota, Viridiplantae, Streptophyta, Magnoliopsida, Rosales, Rosaceae.
CUUGUCUUUUACGACGCGCAAAUUACGGCGUGCAUAUCGUGUGCGCCGUAAAAGACGGUCAUUUACGGCAUGUUUUUUUGUGCGCCGUAAAAGACGUCCAUUUUUUGUCUUUUACGGCGUGCUUUUCAUGUGCGCCGUAAAUGACAUAUUACAUUUACGACAUACUUUUUUUGUGCGCUGUAAAAGACUAAUUUUUUAUCUUUUACGGCGUGCUUUUCACGUGUGCCGUAAAUGAUGUGUUUCUUAACAAUCCCGCUCAGCCAUUUUUAGCUAAAUUCUAAUUUCCCACCAAACCUUUUUACUCUGACAUUUUUUUUUUAAAAGAUAAAAACUCAGGCCAAACCCGGAUCUCUUCAGACUCUCCAUCUCUCGUCUCGUUUCCUCUUCUUCUCUUCAUCCUCGCUCGAUGCCAUCCCAUCGAUCUAAAGGCCGAAGCCAAUAAUCCUGUCAUUAGGUGAGUGAAUAUGUCUCUCCCAAAUUCAGUUGGGGUCUCUCUCUCUCUUCUUUGCUAUGCGCGGCCCUUCGAGGCUUCCAACGCCAGACGUGUAUGCAUCAAUUGCUUCUCUCUCCGUCCUCUCUCAGGGGUUGAAGUAGUUUUUGCAAUAGAGAAAGCUGCGGUGGAGAUAUGACUUCUGUUCGCUGACGGUGCUCUCGGGCCGUCUAUCAAACUCAACUCGGGGCUGGAUUAUUACAUAGAUGUUGAUUAUCAAGUGGGUGAUGGCUUCUCUUUCAGUGGAGGUGUCUAUUCUCUUUUCCACUACCUCUUUUAUUUGCUAAAUGGCCUUUCCAAGUUUUUCAGUACUAGUAACUGAGGAAGUGGGUAAGUUUUUGACAGGAAAGUAUUCAUAUGGACCAAGCCCUUCUGAUGAAUGGUUCAAGCAGGGGAAGAUAGUCCGAUCUUGGACUUGCAAUGGGUGCUGAUUCUCAGGCAGCUGCUGAUGUUUUUAGGUAAAUUUGUACAUUUAGCUUUAGAGGACUAGCGGUUGGCAUGUUUGAAACAGUGUGGUUUAUACUUUUAUAGUAUAUGAGUCAUGCAGACAAUGAGUGUGGAAUUUGCAGGGUUUACCAAUUGUCUCACUCUACAAUAAUUUCACUUUUAAGAGAGUUAUUGAAGUUGUUAUUUUGGCUUUCCCCAUCUGCUAAUUUGUAGGUGGUCUUCUUUCUUAUAUUUAAGCAGGGGCCUACUGGUAUUCAGUCUGCCAAUUUGUAGGUUUCUUCCAGUUCAUUAAGAAAAAUGAUUUCAUUGUAGUUGUAUUAUUUACUCGAUCUUGUCAUUCAUAAAGAUUGUUUUAGUUUUUUACAUAAAGUUCUGUAUUCUAUUUUGUUGAAGUUAAUAAUUUCAUUGUGGAGACCCAAGUUUCAAAGAUAUAUUAUGAUUUCUUAUAUAUGAUAUUGUUUUUAUAUAUUACUAUUUUUAAUUAUGAUUACUUUCCUUUCAGUCGUAUAACUGAAGGAUAUUUUCUUUUAUUCCAACUUCCUUAAUAUAUUUGAAAUUGUAAGAAAAUUCUGCCCAAUCCAUUUUAUUUGCUCAUUCUAUCGUUUCACUCUAAGUCAGACCCUUUCUUUCUUUAGAAGUACUUGGUAGAUAAUCAAUUGGAAUGGAAAAAUUGGUUUAGCUUGAGAUGGCAUGGAUUUUGAUGGAGUUGGAAGAAUCAUAUGUCAUUUGCUGUUCUCUUUAUGCAACAGCUCCUACUCUUCUUAUUUUCACUCUCUGCGCGCAACUCCUCCUCGGUAUUUGCCAAUUCCUAUCAUUUCAGUCCAUCACCAUCUCUCCUCUUAUCCACUACUCAAGGAUUUAUCUUGAUCAGACGAUUUAACUUCUUUCUUAAUCUCUUCCUUUCCCAAAGUCUCUCUCUACUUGUUCAUAUCAUUCUCUC